AACGAACGCUGGCGGCAGGCCUAACACAUGCAAGUCGAGCGCGCCUUCGGGUGAGCGGCGGACGGGUGAGUAACGCGUGGGAAUAUGCCCUUCUCUACGGAAUAGUCCUGGGAAACUGGGGGUAAUACCGUAUACGCCCUUUGGGGGAAAGAUUUAUCGGGGAAGGAUUAGCCCGCGUUGGAUUAGGUAGUUGGUGGGGUAAUGGCCUACCAAGCCGACGAUCCAUAGCUGGUUUGAGAGGAUGAUCAGCCACACUGGGACUGAGACACGGCCCAGACUCCUACGGGAGGCAGCAGUGGGGAAUCUUAGACAAGGGGGGCAACCCUGAUCUAGCCAUGCCGCGUGAGUGAUGAAGGCCUUAGGGUUGUAAAGCUCUUUCAGCUGGGAAGAUAAUGACGGUACCAGCAGAAGAAGCCCCGGCUAACUCCGUG
This 431-nucleotide ribosomal RNA is filed under the name uncultured bacterium. RNAcentral describes it as "partial 16S ribosomal RNA". It matches the Rfam family "Bacterial small subunit ribosomal RNA", at positions 29 to 507 of the family's 1533-position model. The record is from RNAcentral.